AAAGUCGUAACAAGGUUUCCGUAGGUGAACCUGCGGAAGGAUCAUUACCGAGUUCAUGCCCUUCGGGGUAGAUCUCCCACCCUUUGUUUACCAUACUAUGUUGCUUUGGCGGACCGCCUGGUGGCCCUUCGGGGUCGCCAGCUACCGGCUUCGGCGGGUACGCGUCCGCCAGAGAACCCAAAACCCUGUAUAUUAGUGUCGUCUGAGUAAAAAGUUUAAUAUUUAAAACUUUCAACAACGGAUCUCUUGGCUCUG
Molecule: unclassified non-coding RNA, 255 nt
Filed under: fungal sp.
Lineage: Eukaryota; Fungi
Description: partial contains small subunit ribosomal RNA, internal transcribed spacer 1, and 5.8S ribosomal RNA
Rfam family: Eukaryotic small subunit ribosomal RNA (bases 1-47)
Source: RNAcentral